GACGAACGCUGGCGGGCGUGGAUUAGGCAUGCAAGUCGAACGGUAGGAUACCUUCGGGUAUCUGAGAGUGGCGAACGGGUGAGUAACACGUAGGUGAUCUACCCUCAAGAUUGGGACAACCCAGGGAAACUUGGGCUAAUACCGGAUGAAAGCAGCAGUGAUGUUGUUUGAAAGGUGGCGUAAGCUGCCGUUUGGGGAUGAGCCUGCGCUCUAUUAGUUAGUUGGCGGGGUAAAGGCCCACCAAGGCGAUGAUAGAUAGGCGGCCUUAACGGGUGGUCGCCCACACUGGGAUUGAGAUACGGCCCAGACUCCUACGGGAGGCAGCAGUCGAGAAUAGUCUACAAUGGCCGAAAGGCUGAUAGUGCGACGCCGCGUGAACGAAGAAGCCCUUCGGGGUGUAAAGUUCUUUUAUAUGUGAGCAGUGCUUUCUAUGUGAACAGCAUGGGGAGAGAGAUAUUAGCAUAUGAAUAAGCAACGGCUAACUCCGUG
RNAcentral lists this ribosomal RNA (489 nucleotides) under uncultured bacterium. RNAcentral's name for it is "bacterial SSU rRNA". It matches the Rfam family "Bacterial small subunit ribosomal RNA", at positions 28 to 507 of the family's 1533-position model. The record is from RNAcentral.